UAGGGAAUCUUCGGCAAUGGGGGCAACCCUGACCGAGCAACGCCGCGUGAGUGAAGAAGGUUUUCGGAUCGUAAAGCUCUGUUGUAAGUCAAGAACGAGUGUGAGAGUGGAAAGUUCACACUGUGACGGUAGCUUACCAGAAAGGGACGGCUAACUACGUGCCAGCAGCCGCGGUAAUACGUAGGUCCCGAGCGUUGUCCGGAUUUAUUGGGCGUAAAGCGAGCGCAGGCGGUUUGAUAAGUCUGAAGUUAAAGGCUGUGGCUCAACCAUAGUUCGCUUUGGAAACUGUCAAACUUGAGUGCAGAAGGGGAGAGUGGAAUUCCAUGUGUAGCGGUGAAAUGCGUAGAUAUAUGGAGGAACACCGGUGGCGAAAGCGGCUCUCUGGUCUGUAACUGACGCUGAGGCUCGAAAGCGUGGGGAGCGAACAGGAUUAGAUACCCUGGUAGUCCACGCCGUAAACGAUGAGUGCUAGGUGUUGGAUCCUUUCCGGGAUUCAGUGCCGCAGCUAACGCAUUAAGCACUCCGCCUAGGGAGUACGACCGCAAGGUUG
Molecule: ribosomal RNA, 550 nt
Filed under: uncultured bacterium
Lineage: Bacteria
Description: bacterial SSU rRNA
Rfam family: Bacterial small subunit ribosomal RNA
Source: RNAcentral